This 1966-nucleotide ribosomal RNA is filed under the name Triticum aestivum (bread wheat). RNAcentral's name for it is "partial small subunit ribosomal RNA". Lineage: Eukaryota; Viridiplantae; Streptophyta; Magnoliopsida; Poales; Poaceae. The record is from RNAcentral.
AUGUGCGGCCAUUUGCUUCGAACUCCACUAGUGGUGAUUCCCCAUUGGCUAACUUUGCAAAGAGAGGUGAUGCUGGAGAAAAUUGAUGUCAUUGCAAGAUCCAGGCAUCCCAAAAUACACAUGCCAAAUCCAUGUCUCCUAAUCGACAACGGCCUCAAGAAUUAUGGUGGCAUCUUUCUUGUGUCCUUUGAACUACCAUGCCAUGCUAUAGAGAGAAGUUCUCUGACUUCCAGUGCAUGCAAUCAGUGGAUCCAAGCAAACCUGGAAACUCAAAGGCUUUGUUCAUCUCCAAAAGCAUCGACGUGCCUUCAGCAUUGGGUGCUCUCAAAUACUCUACCCUAAACACUUCAACCACCGCCUUUGCAAAUUUCUCGACAUAAAAGAUUAAAGUACUCUCUCCCAUUGGUAAGUUAUCAUCAACAAAAUCUGCUGAAACACCAUGCAGAAGUCACCUUCUGGAUGGUGUUGUGUCCAAGAUUUCCGGUGCAAUUCCUCCUCUGCUCGAAUGAUCGAUCAUGUUGCUUCACACAGUUGGCAAUGUGAAGGAACAAAUCCAGAGGCAUCGUAAAACGGUCGUGAAAGUAUAGCUCUCGAUAAACUGGAGUUGAACCAAAAUAGUUGCGCAUCAAUCUGUUGCUUAUCCCUCCGAAUCAACUAAUGCCCGAAAAUGGAACCACCAUGCUCCGGCCUCUUGUUCUUGUGCAUCAUCAAUAUCAAAACAAUGUAUUCAUUCCAUAUUCCUCUUUGGACGAGGAAUCAUCCCGCAGAGAGGGUUCAAAUGAACUCGUCUACAUACAAUAAUUUCCACUACAAUCUACUCAUUUGACCACAACAAGAAAGAGAGAAGCAAACAAAAUUUAGCUUGUAGGCAAUUCUUCGAAUACGAGUGUGAGGAGGAGGAAAUCGGAUGGUUGCAUGCUGGAGCUGAGGUGGUUGCCACGCCGGGUCGAAAUGGCCUCGUAGACGAUAGGAAGGGCGAGUUUGCGGACAAAAACAGUGACGCCGCGCUAUUGACGUCGGCCAAUGCAGCACAGCUGCCCCGCUCGGUUGCGGCGGCCGCAAGGUCAGCAUCGUCCGUUCGACGACCACUAACCCGUGUCUACGGCCAGCUGUGGGGCCGCGGCCGACCGCAUUCUGCCCGGAUCCGGCACGUCGGCAGAUCCCGGAUGGGCACGCUAGCGGGGCUGACGCGGCCGUCUGGAGCAGCAGGAUGGAGCAGGUUAGUCGCAGGCAGGCGGAACGGCAGUGGUGGCGUUGGUGGGCGAAAUCGAGCCGGCGGCUGUUGGGCAGAGGUGGGGCGCGGCGGGAUGAAUGUUUAGCGUGGCAGUUCAGUGUGUGCAGAGGACGUUUUUUGUUUUGCGGCAGCAUGCGUGUGCUGCAGAAUUACAACACUAGAGACUGUUUUUUCUUCCGGGCUGUCUCAAAAUGGUACAAAAAAGAAGAGAUAAAGACAAUUGUUGGACAGAUAUUGGCUUGUUAUUUUCUAUGUUUAUGGUUGUUUCUCGGCACCAUUGUACCGUGUCGUUGUUUUUAUGUGUGUUGUGGUGCUGUGCUGUACUGGUGAAUAUAAAGGCCUCACAAAUUUAAGCUGGGCGGUAGCCUUUUUCCAAAGAACGUUUUUUUUUGGACGGGUCGCUCUCUCCGGUCUAAACGUGUCACUGUUCAGUCAAUCUCUCCGGUCGCCUCUGCUAUUGUCCGUCCUCACGUGGCGCCACACCAAUUUCAACUAACCCCAUCCGCCCGUGGCCUUCAAGGAACUUGAGCGACAGUUCUUCAAUCCCCAUCAGAUCCGUGGCCUCCAAGGCGUUCCUGAGAGUGGAUCCUACGAAAGAGAAAGGGACUAAAGAAACAGCAAGUGUACAUUUCCGUAUGUGUGUGGCUGAGAGCAUCCCAUUUCGCUGGAGCUUAGAAUCUCUAGAGAUGUGCGCGCGCCCUUAUAAAACGCCGCUCGGUCUAAUCAAUUUGU